GAUGAACGCUGGCGGCGUGCCUAAUACAUGCAAGUCGAGCGAACAGACGAGGAUCUUGCUCCUCUGACGUUAGCGGCGGACGGGUGAGUAACACGUGUAUAACCUACCUAUAAGACUGGUAUAACUUCGGGAAACCGGAGCUAAUAGCGUAUAAUAUAUUGAACCGCAUGGUUCAAUAGUGAAAGACGGUUUUGCUGUCACUUAUAGAUGGAUCCGCGCCGCAUUAGCUAGUUGUUAAGGUAACGGCUUACCAAGGCAACGAUGCGUAGCCGACCUGAGAGAGUGGUAGGCCACCUUGGAAGUGAGCCAGAGACGAGACUACUGCGGGAGGCAGCAGUAGGGAAUCUUACGCAAUGGGGGAAAGCCUGACAGAGCAGCGCGGAGUGAGUGAUGAAGGUCUUCGGAUCGUGAAAAUCUGUUAUUAGGGAAGAACAAAUGUGUAAGUAACUAUGCACGUCUUGACGGUACCUGAUCAGAAAGCAACGGCUAACUACGUG
This 497-nucleotide ribosomal RNA is filed under the name uncultured bacterium. Its description in RNAcentral is "partial 16S ribosomal RNA". It matches the Rfam family "Bacterial small subunit ribosomal RNA", at positions 28 to 507 of the family's 1533-position model. The record is from RNAcentral.